Molecule: ribosomal RNA, 400 nt
Filed under: uncultured bacterium
Lineage: Bacteria
Description: bacterial SSU rRNA
Rfam family: Bacterial small subunit ribosomal RNA
Source: RNAcentral
GACGAACGCUGGCGGCGUGCUUAACACAUGCAAGUCGAGGGGGUUCGUGGGGCAACUCACGGAUCACCGGCGAACGGGUGCGUAACACGUGAGCGACCUGCCGUACCUGUGGGGGAUAGCCGGCCCAACGGCCGGGUAAUACCGCAUACGCUUGUCUUGGGGCAUCCUGGGACAAAGAAAGCUCUGGGGGCAACCCUGGGGCGCAGGACGAGGGGCUCGCGGCCUAUCAGCUAGUUGGCGGGGAACGGCCCACCAAGGCGGUGACGGGUAGCUGGUCUGAGAGGAUGGCCAGCCACAUUGGGACUGAGAGACGGCCCAGACUCCUACGGGAGGCAGCAGUGGGGAAUCUUGCGCAAUGGCCUAACGGCUGACGCAGCGACGCCGCGUGUGGGAGGACGCC